AGGAGAGAACGCUGGGUUGAAGUGGCUUAUUGGAGUCCUAGGUGGAAACUGUGGCAGAGCCCGGAGCCCUUCUUCCUUGUUCGGGCAAGGCUGUCCCAGUGCUCGGGCUGCUUUUGUGGAGGGCUGGUCCGCUCUGCCUGGCAGGAAGAGGGAAGGAACACACAAGGUGAUCACAGAUUGUGACCAAUGCUGUGAAGAAAAGAAACAGCUUGAUGCUGUAACAACUGGGGAAGGACUCUCUGGGGAGAAGAUGAGAGUGGACCAGCCCAAGGAAAAGUGUUCCAGGCAGAAGGAACAGCAGGUGCAAAGGCCCAGAGGAGGAACGUUGAUGAGGAACAAAAACACAGCUAGACGUCAGUGAAGGUUGGAGAGUUAGAGUAAGUUGGAUCCUGCCAGGCCUAUUUGGCCACAGCAGAUUUAAGAAAGAGGAAGCUCUUGAAGGAUUUUAAACACGGGGAGAGGUAAUUUGCCAUUGCGUUGUCUGAAGUUCCUUGCAGGACAAAGACCCUUCCUUGGCGGGGUGGGUACUUAAACCCAGUCAAGACCAACCCAUCCUCCAAAUUAGUCUUGUGCUCUACCAGGCUUUUAGAAUAGGUCCAAUCUUCAUCAGAAAGCAUAGGGUUUGCUUUGUGCCAACCUGGCCCUCCAGUUCUGUAGGGAGCAGGUGUUGAGCCAUGGGCAGCAGACAUCACUGUAGCCUUGGAUGUAGUUUAUUACAGUGCGGGAGCACUGUCCUGUGAUGUGGUGGGGGACUCAGCAUUACUGAACUUAGCAAGGCCGCUGGCCAGGGGCAGAACCUAUCAUUUGAAAUACGUAUAAUUAUUUUGCUUAUUUAUGCCUUCUGUCUUUAGACUGUGAGUGCUGAGAAGCCAAAGACCACCUGGACUUUUAUCCCUGUGUUUCCAGUGCUUGCCUGCAGCAGGUACUCCACAGACACUUGUGAAAGCGUGGAGGAUUGGAGGAAAAGGGCAGAGGUAAUUUAGCUCUGCUUUUGUAGGAAACAGAAAGGGGAAGAGGACUUGUAAGCAGUAAAAUAUAAACAUCAAAACAACCUACAUUUGCUUCUGCAGAAAUGCUUGUUUUGAAGGUAGGAAUUUGUUCUAACGCAGUUUAAAGGAGCAUACCUACAUUCCCCAGUGAAAAACACAAAGCAAAAUUCCAAACCAGGGGUUCCCGUUGUGGUGCAGUGGUUAACGAAUCCCACUAGGAACCAUGAGGUUGUGGGUUCAACUCCUGGCCUUGCUCAGUGGGUUGGGGAUCCGGCGUUGCCGUGAGCUGUGGUGUGGGUCUCAGACGCGGCUGGGAUCCCGCGUUGCUGUGGCUGUGGUGUGGGUGGCAGACACGGCUGGGAUCCUGCAUUG
Molecule: long non-coding RNA, 1361 nt
Filed under: Sus scrofa (pig)
Lineage: Eukaryota; Metazoa; Chordata; Mammalia; Artiodactyla; Suidae
Description: lncRNA (ENSSSCG00060060279.1)
Source: RNAcentral